AAAUUGAAGAGUUUGAUCAUGGCUCAGAUUGAACGCUGGCGGCAGGCCUAACACAUGCAAGUCGAACGGUAACAGGAAGAAGCUUGCUUCUUUGCUGACGAGUGGCGGACGGGUGAGUAAUGUCUGGGAAACUGCCUGAUGGAGGGGGAUAACUACUGGAAACGGUAGCUAAUACCGCAUAACGUCGCAAGACCAAAGAGGG
Molecule: ribosomal RNA, 202 nt
Filed under: Escherichia coli
Lineage: Bacteria; Pseudomonadati; Pseudomonadota; Gammaproteobacteria; Enterobacterales; Enterobacteriaceae
Description: partial 16S ribosomal RNA
Rfam family: Bacterial small subunit ribosomal RNA
Source: RNAcentral